This 330-nucleotide unclassified non-coding RNA is filed under the name uncultured Ascomycota. RNAcentral describes it as "sequence contains ITS1". The stretch from base 1 to 105 matches the Rfam family "5.8S ribosomal RNA", at positions 50 to 154 of the family's 154-position model. The record is from RNAcentral. Lineage: Eukaryota; Fungi; Ascomycota.
GAAAUGCGAUAAGUAAUGUGAAUUGCAGAAUUUAGUGAAUCAUCGAAUUUUUGAACGCAUAUUGCGCCCUCUGGCAUUCCGGGGGGCAUGCCUGUUCGAGCGUCAUUAAUAACCCUCAAGCAAAAAAAAAAAUUGCUUGGUAUUGGGCUUUUUUCAUCCUAAGGAUGGGCCUAAAAAUUAGUGGCGAUUGGCCUUUCUUCUGGUUUUUUAAGCGUAGUAAAUUAUUUUCUCGUCUUAAAAAAAAUUGUAAAAGAAAGUUAUCUGCCAAAAACUUUUUUUUUUUUUUAAAAAGUUGACCUCGGAUCAGGUAGGAAUACCCGCUGAACUUAA